Molecule: long non-coding RNA, 1086 nt
Organism: Equus quagga
Lineage: Eukaryota; Metazoa; Chordata; Mammalia; Perissodactyla; Equidae
Exons: 2
Source: RefSeq, a predicted model, not a curated record
UACCAUGUGCAUUGCUUUUGGUCUCAUAGAUUUAAAAAGAGCAAUUCGACUUGGUGUGUCAACUGGUGAUGGAAAUCCCAGGAUGAGGGGAUUAAUCCCUGUGCUCUUGGAUCAAAAUAUGCAGGGUCAAGAGAAAAACGAAAGAGAGCCCAGGAUGUGACUCUUCCCAAUGCUGAGACAUACAGAGUGGAUUACAGCUGAGUGUUUUUGAACAAAGGCUUAAUAAACUUCAACCUCCGUGGUACCGAGUACUGAAGUCACAGUGAAAUACAGCAGUACAAAAACCCUCUUCUUCUUUUUCACUGUUUCUUGGCAUUUUGCCAUCACCAACCUCUGCCAUCGGAAUACCUCUAAAAUCUUUCACCAAUGCUGUUAUUGUGGUUAAAUGCUAUAAAACUCAGAGGCACAGAAUGAUUACAAUCACACAAAUCAAUGAGUAAAACACUAAAAACCUAAAAAAUUAAUGGACAAAGGGCAAAUGCAGAAAUUCACUUAUUGGUCAACAAACUUCAAAAAAUGUUUUAACUCUCUGGUAAUAAAAAUGCAAAUAAAGAAUUAAGAAACCAUUUUUUUGUACAGAUAUCUAAGCAAUCCUUUUAGAAAAAAAGUGAUGUUCUCAAUGCUGGCAAGAUGUUGGUAUCAAUAUAAAUUGUUGUAUUUUUAUUGGAAACCAAUUAGUUUAUACCAACAGGGUGAAAAUAUUUAUACUAGUUUGAGCAAAUAGUUCCACUUUGGCAAAUUGACUUUAAGAACAUACUAUACCUGUUUGAAUAUAAAGUGAGGUUUAUCAUUGUCAGAGAAGAGAGAAUCCCCAUAAAAUGGAUUCCUUAUAAAAAUUACAAAAAGCAAUAUUACAAUGCUUUCACGCAAUUUUUUUAUUUUGCACAAUUAAGUACAGUUUAGCGAAGACACAUUAACCUGGGAUGAUCUCAUUCAAUGCUGGUUCAUAGAUACUCAAGGAAGUCAGCUGAUGAGGUUAGUAAAAAGGUGACUAAGUAAUUUAACAAAACUUAGUAACUAUUCUUGCAAAUAUGUCUUUGAAAUUACAAAUAUUCAAUAUUGUUUAAAUAAAUCUUUUAAAGGAAA